Molecule: unclassified non-coding RNA, 1672 nt
Filed under: Hevea brasiliensis (rubber tree)
Lineage: Eukaryota; Viridiplantae; Streptophyta; Magnoliopsida; Malpighiales; Euphorbiaceae
Source: RNAcentral
UAGUGCUUUUAAUUCAACAGAUUCUCCAAAUGAGGCUGUUGUCAGCUCAAGUACCCCUUCUAUGGAAAGUGCUUUCUCACAAAUUUUGUCCAUGCGUGAGAUGCUUAAUCAGGUUCUGACUAUGCAAAAAGAAACACAAAAGCAGAUGGAAGUGAUGGUCGCUGUUCCAGUGACCAAAGAAGGAAGAAGACUUGAAGCUGCCUUGGGAAGGAGCAUGGAAAAAUCUGUCAAGGCCAAUUCUGAUGCUUUAUGGGCUCGUUUACAAGAAGAGAGUGCAAAACAGGAGAAGUCUCUCCGUGAUCGUACACAACAAAUAACCAAUUUGAUCUCUAACUGCUUAAAUAAGGACAUGCCAGGUCUGAUGGAAAAAUUAAUGAAGAAAGAGCUAGCAGCUGUUGGACAAGCUGUAGCACGCAGCAUUACCCCUGCUAUAGAGAAAACAAUAUCAUCUGCAAUUUUAGAGGCCUUCCAGAAAGGAGUUGGUGACAAGGCAGUGAACCAACUAGAGAAAGCAGUAAACUCCAAACUUGAAGCUACUGUAGCUAGACAAAUCCAAGCACAGUUCCAAACCUCUGGCAAGCAAGCUCUUCAGGAAACACUGAAAUCUACUCUGGAAGUCUCAGUGAUCCCUGCCUUCGAGAUGUCAUGCAAGGCAAUGUUUGAGCAAGUAAAUUCAACAUUUCAGAAAGGCAUUGCUGACCACACAGUUGCUGCACAACAGCAAUUUGAGUCCGUGCAUUCACCUUUGGCAAUCGCUCUGAGAGAUGCCAUCAAUUCAGCAUCGGCAAUGACACAGACACUGAGCGGAGAGCUUGCUGAUAGUCAGAGACAGUUGCUUGCUCUUGCAGUUUCUGGAGCAAAUUCCCAAUCAGCAAAUCCACUCAACCACAUGAAUAAUGGAUCAUUGCUACAUGAAAAGAUUGAGACACCUCCAGAUCCAACCAAAGAGAUAUCUAGACAGUUAGGGGAGCACAAGUAUGAGGAAGCAUUCACUGCAGCAUUACAAAUGAGUGAUGUGUCAAUUGUGUCAUGGUUAUGCUCUCAGGUUGAUUUGGCUGGGAUUUUAUCGUUGAAUCCCCUCCCUCUGAGCCAAGGAGUGCUCCUUUCCCUUCUUCAGCAGUUAUCGUGUGGUAUUAGCUCAGAGACGGUCCAAAAACUCUCUUGGAUGAGGGAUGUGCUCUCUGCCAUCAAUCCAAAUGACCCACUGAUUGUAGUGCAUGUUCGGCCCAUCUUUGAGCAAGUAUAUCAGAUGUUAGUACAACGCAGAAACGCUGCUACCACUCCUCCUGCUGAACUUUCAAUCAUUCGGCUUCUUGUGCAUGUUAUCAAUUCGAUGAUGAUGGCUGUUAAAUGAUGAUCCUAUUUGGUGAACGUAGUAAAAGCCCCCAAAUCCCAGUGGAUUUCAUGAAAAGGCUUCAAGUCUUACCCGACAAUUGAAGUGUACAGUGUACACCAACCUCCAAUUAUCUCUUCUCUCCUUUGGUUCAACUCUUUCUACAUAAAAUCUGUAAUCGUUUUGCCUAAAUUCUCAAGUUGUAGACACUUACUUAGCAAAAGAAAAACAAAAAGUAAUUUUCAAGUUGUAGAGUUUGGAUGUUGCAUAUUUACAGAAAUUUUGUGCUUGUACAUUGAUACUUUAUUAUACUCCAAUUUCAUUUCAAGUGGGAACAAG